RNAcentral lists this ribosomal RNA (253 nucleotides) under uncultured bacterium. RNAcentral's name for it is "partial 16S ribosomal RNA". It matches the Rfam family "Bacterial small subunit ribosomal RNA", at positions 524 to 776 of the family's 1533-position model. The record is from RNAcentral.
UACGUAGGGGGCAAGCGUUGUCCGGAUUUAUUGGGCGUAAAGAGCGUGUAGGCGGCCAUGCAGGUCAGCUGUGAAAACUCGAGGCUCAACCUCGAGACGUCGGUUGAAACCGCUUGGCUAGAGUCCGGAAGAGGAGAGUAGAAUUCCCGGUGUAGCGGUGAAAUGCGCAGAUAUCGGGAAGAACACCCGUGGCGAAGGCGGCUCUCUGGGACGGUACUGACGCUGAGACGCGAAAGCGUGGGGAGCGGACAGG